GGAACCAUGCGAUCAAGCGCCGCCUAACCCCGCCAGGUUCGGAAGGAAGCAACGGUAAGUGGCAGCUUGUUGCGCCGUGGAGCAGGU
RNAcentral lists this signal recognition particle RNA (87 nucleotides) under Treponema sp. RNAcentral describes it as "signal recognition particle sRNA small type". It matches the Rfam family "Bacterial small signal recognition particle RNA". From Rfam's summary of the family: The signal recognition particle (SRP) is a universally conserved ribonucleoprotein involved in the co-translational targeting of proteins to membranes. Archaeal SRP consists of a 7S RNA and homologues of the eukaryotic SRP19 and SRP54 proteins. In most bacteria, the SRP consists of a 4.5S RNA and the Ffh protein (a homologue of the eukaryotic SRP54 protein). The record is from RNAcentral. Lineage: Bacteria; Pseudomonadati; Spirochaetota; Spirochaetia; Treponematales; Treponemataceae.